Molecule: long non-coding RNA, 158 nt
Organism: Schistocerca cancellata (South American locust)
Lineage: Eukaryota; Metazoa; Arthropoda; Insecta; Orthoptera; Acrididae
Exons: 3
Source: RefSeq, a predicted model, not a curated record
CGGAUACAUCACGGAGCGGACAACAAUAGCGGCAACUCUCGUCGCACGCCACAGCAAUUGUUGAAAUACCAUGGCCACGCAGUCGUUCAGCAUCCACGGCAUUUUUAACUUCAGAAAGAUUACUGGUGGAAUGGAUGCGGCAUCGUGGCGUCACGCCG